AACGAACGCUGGCGGCAUGCCUAACACAUGCAAGUCGAACGAGACCUUCGGGUCUAGUGGCGCACGGGUGCGUAACGCGUGGGAACCUGCCCUUAGGUUCGGAAUAACUCCCCGAAAGGGGUGCUAAUACCGGAUAAUGUCUUCGGCCCAAAGAUUUAUCGCCUUUGGAUGGGCCCGCGUUGGAUUAGCUAGUUGGUAGGGUAAAAGCCUACCAAGGCGACGAUCCAUAGCUGGUCUGAGAGGAUGAUCAGCCACACUGGGACUGAGACACGGCCCAGACUCCUACGGGAGGCAGCAGUGGGGAAUAUUGGACAAUGGGCGAAAGGCUGAUCCAGCAAUGCCGCGUGAGUGAUGAAGGCCUUAGGGUUGUAAAGCUCUUUUACCCGGGAUGAUAAUGACAGUACCGGGAGAAUAAGCUCCGGCUAACUCCGUG
This 433-nucleotide ribosomal RNA is filed under the name uncultured bacterium. RNAcentral describes it as "partial 16S ribosomal RNA". It matches the Rfam family "Bacterial small subunit ribosomal RNA", at positions 29 to 507 of the family's 1533-position model. The record is from RNAcentral.